Molecule: unclassified non-coding RNA, 563 nt
Filed under: Hevea brasiliensis (rubber tree)
Lineage: Eukaryota; Viridiplantae; Streptophyta; Magnoliopsida; Malpighiales; Euphorbiaceae
Source: RNAcentral
UGUCGCUGGAACCAGACUUCCAAAUUGGAGAGCUGAGGAAUUUCUGCAACAUAUUGUCGUGGAUUGACCUGCUUGACGGACAGUUGACAGUCCUUGAGCAAAUCAAGAGUGUCGGAGGCCAUGCGGCCUUUACUAGGCAAACCGAGACGAAUCUCAUUCCUCUCAGAAACUCUGUUAUCGAUUCUGCCAUUAACAACUGAGACCUGAGACUGCGAUAGGCAACAAACAACAGGUCUAAGAGACGAAAUUGAAGGUCUUAAAGUAAUUACACGAAAAGACGAAGAGGACGGGAAGAGAGAGGUUGACGAAGAGAGGGAGGCGGCGGCGCAUGGUUGGAAAUUUGGCUGGAGAGGAGUAAUAGACAUGGCUUUUUAGGAAAAGCAAAGCCCUAUGUUCACUAGAAACGGAGAUAUUUUAGAGAGGGAGAGGAGCUGUGUGUAGAUAGAAAAGCCGCCGGCCACCGUAGAAGCCCAAGUGAAAAGUGGCUCUAAUGAAUUAGAAGGGAAGAUACUGUUUUGAGUGUGCGGUUUGAUUCUGUUAUUGCGAAGCGUGUGAGGCUUUCC